Molecule: ribosomal RNA, 468 nt
Filed under: uncultured bacterium
Lineage: Bacteria
Description: partial 16S ribosomal RNA
Rfam family: Bacterial small subunit ribosomal RNA
Source: RNAcentral
GACGAACGCUGGCGGCGUGCUUAACACAUGCAAGUCGAACGGAAAGGCCCUGCUUUUGUGGGGUGCUCGAGUGGCGAACGGGGGAGUAUCACGUGUGUAUCCUGCCCUUGUCUUUGGGAUAACUUCACGAAACUGGGGCUAAUAUCGGAUAGGAUCUCCUGCUGCAUGGGGGGGGUUGGAAAGUUUCGGCGGUAGGGGAUGGACUCGCGGCUUACGGGCUAGUUGGUGGGGUAGUGGAUUACCAAGGCUUAGACGGAUAGCCGGCCUGAGAGGGGGGCCGGCCACAAUACGACUAAGAGACGCAGCAGACGCCAACGGUAGGCAACAGGGGGAAAUCUGACACAAUGGGCGGGAGCCUGAGACAACAACGCCGCGUUCGUAAAGACGUCCUUCGGGGUAAGAACAGCUUUCGCCUGAGACGAAGCGGGAGUGACGGUAAUGAAUAAAGAAGCACCGGCUAACUACGUG